CCGGAUCUUUAUUUUUUUUCCUUGAACGAUUUCUUUCCAAACUCCUUGUGUCGGUGGAAAAUUGUAUAAAUACGACCUUCCUUGCAUCAAUCGAACCAUACCACUCUACAUUCUCUCCUCGUAAACGCUCGGUUCGCUCCUGCAAAGCUUCGCCGGAGAUCUUUUCUUCUCGCCGGAACUUCUAGCGACGGCCACCCGCAAUUCUUCUGAUUUCGGUCGCAACCCAUAAGAAACCUCGGUAGCACUUUGGAAUUUUCUCCCAUCCUAUUUUUGUAGCUUGUUGAUUUCGCUUACACCCUAAGGUGGUAACAAUUGAUGAUGAUUUACAAGCUUUCUAUCACUUAGGAUCAUGGAACUUUUUGCCUUAGUUAAACUUUAAAACGAUCAU
This is a long non-coding RNA of Helianthus annuus (common sunflower), 388 nucleotides long. RefSeq lists it as uncharacterized. The transcript has 3 exons. NCBI's taxonomy places the organism in Eukaryota, Viridiplantae, Streptophyta, Magnoliopsida, Asterales, Asteraceae. The record is from RefSeq and is a predicted model, not a curated record.